RNAcentral lists this ribosomal RNA (467 nucleotides) under uncultured bacterium. RNAcentral's name for it is "partial 16S ribosomal RNA". It matches the Rfam family "Bacterial small subunit ribosomal RNA", at positions 28 to 506 of the family's 1533-position model. The record is from RNAcentral.
GACGAACGCUGGCGGCGUGCUUAACACAUGCAAGUCGAACGGAAAGGCCCUGCUUUUGUGGGGUGCUCGAGUGGCGAACGGGUGAGUAACACGUGAGUAACCUGCCCUUGACUUUGGGAUAACUUCAGGAAACUGGGGCUAAUACCGGAUAGGAGCUCCUGCUGCAUGGUGGGGGUUGGAAAGUUUCGGCGGUUGGGGAUGGACUCGCGGCUUAUCAGCUUGUUGGUGGGGUAGUGGCUUACCAAGGCUUUGACGGGUAGCCGGCCUGGGAGAGUGACCGGCCACAUUGGGACGGAGAUACGGCCCAGACUCCUACGGGAGGCAGCAGUGGGGAAUAUUGCACAAUGAGCGGCAGCCUGAUGCAGCAACGCCGCGUGCGGGAUGACGGCCUUCGGGUUGUAAACCGCUUUCGCCUGUGACGAAGCGUGAGUGAUGGUAAUGGGGAAAGAAGCACCGGCGAACUACGU